RNAcentral lists this small RNA (27 nucleotides) under Bombyx mori (domestic silkworm). Its description in RNAcentral is "ovarian small RNA-15045". Lineage: Eukaryota; Metazoa; Arthropoda; Insecta; Lepidoptera; Bombycidae. The record is from RNAcentral.
GAAACCGCUAAACCUUUCGUGCAUACU